GAACGCUGGCGGCGCGCUUAACACAUGCAAGUCGAGCGAGAACCAGCCCUUCGGGGCUGGGGAAAGCGGCGAACGGGUGAGUAACACGUGAGUAAUCUGCCCUCGGCACCGGGAUAGCCCGUGGAAACGCGGAUUAAUACCGGAUGGCCCGCCGGCCCUUAGGGGCUGUCGGAAAAGGUAGCUUCGGCCUCCGGCCGAGGAGGAGCUCGCGGCCGAUUAGCUAGUUGGCGGGGUAAGAGCCCACCAAGGCGACGAUCGGUAGCUGGUCUGAGAGGACGAUCAGCCACACUGGGACUGAGACACGGCCCAGACUCCUACGGGAGGCAGCAGUGGGGAAUCUUGCGCAAUGGGCGAAAGCCUGACGCAGCGACGCCGCGUGCGGGAAGAAGGCCUUCGGGUUGUAAACCGCUUUCAGGAGGGACGAAGCCACUCGGGUUAAUAGCCCAGAGGGUGACGGUACCUCCAGAAGAAGCCCCGGCUAACUACGUGCCAGCAGCCGCGGUAAUACGUAGGGGGCAAGCGUUGUCCGGAUUUAUUGGGCGUAAAGAGCGUGUAGGCGGCUUGGCAAGUCCGCUGUGAAAACUCGAGGCUCAACCUCGAGACGUCGGUGGAAACUGCCUCGCUAGAGUCCGGAAGAGGAGAGUGGAAUUCCUGGUGUAGCGGUGAAAUGCGCAGAUAUCAGGAAGAACACCCGUGGCUAAGGCGGCUCUCUAGUACGGUACUGACGCUGAGACGCGAAAGCGUGGGGAGCGAACAGGAUUAGAUACCCUGGUAGUCCACGCCGUAAACGAUGGGUGCUAGGUGUGGGGGGUGUCGACUCCCUCCGUGCCGAAGCUAACGCAUUAAGCACCCCGCCUGGGGAGUACCGCCGCAAGGCUAAAACUCAAAG
RNAcentral lists this ribosomal RNA (889 nucleotides) under uncultured bacterium. Its description in RNAcentral is "bacterial SSU rRNA". It matches the Rfam family "Bacterial small subunit ribosomal RNA", at positions 31 to 906 of the family's 1533-position model. The record is from RNAcentral.